GGAGAGGUGUCUGAGUGGCUUAAGGUGCACGCUUGGAAAGCGUGUGUAGAUGAAAAUCUACCGGGGGUUCAAAUCCCUCCCUCUCCG
Molecule: transfer RNA, 87 nt
Filed under: Fidelibacterota bacterium
Lineage: Bacteria; Pseudomonadati; Fidelibacterota
Description: tRNA-Ser
Rfam family: tRNA
About the family: Transfer RNA (tRNA) molecules are approximately 80 nucleotides in length. Their secondary structure includes four short double-helical elements and three loops (D, anti-codon, and T loops). Further hydrogen bonds mediate the characteristic L-shaped molecular structure. tRNAs have two regions of fundamental functional importance: the anti-codon, which is responsible for specific mRNA codon recognition, and the 3' end, to which the tRNAs corresponding amino acid is attached (by aminoacyl-tRNA synthetases). tRNAs cope with the degeneracy of the genetic code in two manners: having more than one tRNA (with a specific anti-codon) for a particular amino acid; and 'wobble' base-pairing, i.e. permitting non-standard base-pairing at the 3rd anti-codon position.
Source: RNAcentral